This is a long non-coding RNA of Magallana angulata, 395 nucleotides long. RefSeq lists it as uncharacterized. The record is from RefSeq and is a predicted model, not a curated record. The transcript is spliced from 3 exons. Lineage: Eukaryota; Metazoa; Mollusca; Bivalvia; Ostreida; Ostreidae.
UCGCCACAUUGUGACUUAUUGUCAUAAAAAAGUAAAAGUCAGGGAGUGUCGAGGAUUUUUAAAUAGCUGUAAGCUGACUCUGGGGGUGAACCUGGUCCCGGUGUCUCUGAGUUUCAGAGUUGGGUGAUACGGAAUCGGAAACCCUUGAGUAGUGUGGAAUCCGGAAAAUCGGGUCACACUCUGUAAAAUUGACAGUAUUAAGAAAGGAAAAUUGAUGGGUUCCUUUUCCGGUCAGUGUGUGAAACACUCUAAUCGGCGGUAGUGUUCAUUGCCAGACAUCGGUGGGGAUUUGUGAAGGCCAAGUGGUCAGUGGACAACAUUACCACCGAAGGACCUUACUAGUCCACGAAUUAGGACAACGACCAAAACGAACAUUUGUGUACUCUGUAUCUGAA